UGUCAUGACCUUAUAUAAAAAUAGAACUCUUCUUCUAUAGCAUGAUACAUGUAAAAAAGGAGUUCUCACGGCUACCAACCUUACAGUAGAGGCUGAGUAGUAGUAUGUUUCUCUCACACAC
Molecule: small nucleolar RNA, 121 nt
Organism: Suncus etruscus (white-toothed pygmy shrew)
Lineage: Eukaryota; Metazoa; Chordata; Mammalia; Eulipotyphla; Soricidae
Product: small nucleolar RNA U109
Exons: 1
Source: RefSeq, a predicted model, not a curated record